GAUGAACGCUGGCGGCGUGCCUAAUACAUGCAAGUCGAGCGAACAGACGAGGAGCUUGCUCCUCUGACGUUAGCGGCGGACGGGUGAGUAACACGUGGAUAACCUACCUAUAAGACUGGGAUAACUUCGGGAAACCGGAGCUAAUACCGGAUAAUAUAUUGAACCGCAUGGUUCAAUAGUGAAAGACGGUUUUGCUGUCACUUAUAGAUGGAUCCGCGCCGCAUUAGCUAGUUGGUAAGGUGACGGCUUACCAAGGCAACGAUGCGUAGCCGACCUGAGAGGAUGAUCGGCCACACUGGAACUGAGACACGGUCCAGACUCCUACGGGAGGCAGCAGUAGGGAAUCUUCCGCAAUGGGCGAAAGCCUGACGGAGCAACGCCGCGUGAGUGAUGAAGGUCUUCGGAUCGUAAAACUCUGUUAUUAGGGAAGAACAAAUGUGUAAGUAACUAUGCACGUCUUGACGGUACCUAAUCAGAAAGCCACGGCUAACUACGUG
This 497-nucleotide ribosomal RNA is filed under the name uncultured bacterium. Its description in RNAcentral is "partial 16S ribosomal RNA". It matches the Rfam family "Bacterial small subunit ribosomal RNA", at positions 28 to 507 of the family's 1533-position model. The record is from RNAcentral.